Caenorhabditis elegans is the source of this 140-nucleotide non-coding RNA. The record is from Ensembl. Lineage: Eukaryota; Metazoa; Nematoda; Chromadorea; Rhabditida; Rhabditidae.
GCAUCAGAAAACUUUCUGCUCUCCGUGUCCUUCUACUUACUCUGAUUGCCUUAGUUAGUCACAUCGCAAGCAACAACUAACUGCCAAUGGGAGGAGCCAGUUGGAGCAGGGUGCGUGCUCGGUGCUCUUUUCAGAAGGUU